This 844-nucleotide ribosomal RNA is filed under the name Grandibotrys hyalinus. Its description in RNAcentral is "eukaryotic LSU rRNA". It matches the Rfam family "Eukaryotic large subunit ribosomal RNA", at positions 60 to 938 of the family's 3401-position model. Lineage: Eukaryota; Fungi; Ascomycota; Sordariomycetes; Hypocreales; Stachybotryaceae. The record is from RNAcentral.
AGAAACCAACAGGGAUUGCCUCAGUAACGGCGAGUGAAGCGGCAACAGCUCAAAUUUGAAAUCUGGCCCCCCGGCCCGAGUUGUAAUUUGCAGAGGAUGCUUUUGGCGCGGUGCCUUCCGAGUUCCCUGGAACGGGACGCCAUAGAGGGUGAGAGCCCCGUCUGGUCGGACACCAAGCCUCUGUAAAGCUCCUUCGACGAGUCGAGUAGUUUGGGAAUGCUGCUCUAAAUGGGAGGUAUAUGUCUUCUAAAGCUAAAUACCGGCCAGAGACCGAUAGCGCACAAGUAGAGUGAUCGAAAGAUGAAAAGCACUUUGGAAAGAGAGUUAAACAGCACGUGAAAUUGUUGAAAGGGAAGCGUUCACGACCAGACUUGGGCCGGUUGAUCACCCAGCGUUCUCGCUGGUGCACUCUGCCGGCCCAGGCCAGCAUCAGUUCGCCCCGGGGGAUAAAGGCGGCGGGAAUGUGGCUCCCCAGGGAGUGUUAUAGCCCGCCGCGCAAUACCCUGUGGCGGACUGAGGUUCGCGCUCUGCAAGGAUGCUGGCGUAAUGGUCGUCAACGACCCGUCUUGAAACACGGACCAAGGAGUCGUCUUCGUAUGCGAGUGUUCGGGUGUCAAACCCCUACGCGUAAUGAAAGUGAACGCAGGUGAGAGCUUCGGCGCAUCAUCGACCGAUCCUGAUGUUCUCGGAUGGAUUUGAGUAAGAGCAUACGGGGCCGGACCCGAAAGAAGGUGAACUAUGCCUGUAUAGGGUGAAGCCAGAGGAAACUCUGGUGGAGGCUCGCAGCGGUUCUGACGUGCAAAUCGAUCGUCAAAUAUGGGCAUGGGGGCGAAAGACUAAUCGA